Long non-coding RNA from Diceros bicornis minor, 321 nucleotides. RefSeq lists it as uncharacterized. Lineage: Eukaryota; Metazoa; Chordata; Mammalia; Perissodactyla; Rhinocerotidae. The transcript is spliced from 3 exons. The record is from RefSeq and is a predicted model, not a curated record.
GCAACACAAAAUGUGAUAAGUGCUAUAAGAGAAAUGUCAACAUUUGCCAUCGGAAUACAAACAAGAGCACACAAUGACCUCUCAUAAACUAGCAAAGAAGUUAAAGACAAAGUUAUUCCAGGAAAGAAAACAGAAUGAGACAAUGGCAAAUAUUCUCGGUCACAUGCCCCUUUUGGUAAAAUAUUCACAACAGUAAUGGAUCUACACAACUACCAGCAGGAAGCUAACUGGAUGAUUAAUUAACAACACAUGGAGUCAUUUUUCCACUCCCAGCAAAUAUUUUUCCUAGUGGCAGAAUAUCUGGAUUUCAAAUAUAACAAU